Long non-coding RNA from Acinonyx jubatus (cheetah), 14481 nucleotides. RefSeq lists it as uncharacterized. The transcript has 4 exons. The record is from RefSeq and is a predicted model, not a curated record. Lineage: Eukaryota; Metazoa; Chordata; Mammalia; Carnivora; Felidae.
GGCAUGUUUCUGGAAUGAAUUAUGUUCACAAACUAAGGUUUUACCGUGUAAGUAUUUAGGACCACACAUUUGCCUCUGAGUAGCCCUUUUGCCAUGACACACAAGUGUGUGCUUUUCAUUAUUGUUCUAAGUAUUUCUAAAUUUUCGUAAUAAUUUCUUUUUGGAGUCAUCAAUUACCUAGAAUUCUAUUUUUUAAAUUCCAAUAUAUGAAAACUUCCUAUCUUUUUGUUAUUGACUUCUAUUUAAUUAUAUUGUGUUUAAAGAAUGUGAUGGAUGCGAUACUUAUUUUUUGAAAUUUGUUGAGAUGGACUCAUGAUCUAGUAUGUGACUAAUUUCUAUAACCCUUCCGUGUAUGUUUAAGGAAAAUGGAUAUUCUCCAAUGGUUACAUUUAGGAUGUUACAUAUGGCCACUAGAUCAAAACUGUCCAGAUAUAUUUGUUGAGUAUUUUUUGCUGCUUGACUGAGCAAUAAUCGCGAGAGAACUGUUGGUAGAUAUGUUAAUUUCUCCCUAUAUUUCUAUCAAUUUUUUAUUUAUAUGGAGUGAGACUCUUUUAUUGGGUGCAUAUACACCUGGAAUUCUUACGUCUUCCUGGUGAGUUGAAAAUUACAUCAUGACAUAGUAACAUAUUCUGUCUUAGAGUGUAUUUUUUUGUGAUAGUGAUACAGUUAUGCUGAUUCUCCUAUGAUUAAUAUUUUCCUGGUACAUCUUUUUCCAUGUGUUUUUGCUUAGGUGUAUCCCAAACAGGAUUUCUCCCCAUAUAGUAAUGUCUGCCUUUUAACAGAUUGAUUCAAUCCAUUUAUAUUUGGGUGGGGAUCAUGAAUACUGUGAUAUAGCUUUCCACAAUCUUAAUGAGGCAACACUGGAGAAUAUGAGUCCCAAGAUGACAUAUCUUUGCCAGUAAUGAAAGCCAGUGAUCUGAAACUCAGGCAUGUUGACUGUCUUUGGCUUUUCCUCCAUGGUGCUUCCAUUAAGUUGUGCAUCUUAAGAAAAUGUCAUUUUCUGCUUAGGUGUAGGGUUGAAACCAAAUCUUUGGGAAAUGAAUGAAGCCACAUAAUGUCUCAAAGUUUCUCUCAGGAAACUCUAAGGGGCAGCAGAAUGCUUGUGCGAAUGCAUGGGCUUUAGCGCUGGGCAGAACCGUCCCCUAACCUUUGCUCUGCCACUUUCUAGCUGUGGGAUCUGGGGUGCGUUCCUUAAUCUCUCUGAGUCUGUUUCUUCAUCUAGAAAUCAAGAAUAACCACACCUGCCUCCCCAUGAUAUUUACCAGGCAAAUGGAACAGCCUGGCUUACGGCAGGUGCUCAGUGAAUGUCCGCACUUUUUCUUCCUCCCUCCCCUCUUCCAGGCCCACGGCCUUGAUGAUGUCAAGAACGUUUUGUAAAUAUUACAAAUAUGAUGCGUCACUGUGAUUAUUACUUAUUAAAAUCACUUUGUUUCCUGAUUUGGGUGAUUCAUCUCAACCAAAAGAAAGAUUUGUGCUGUUCUGGCUAACAAAAACUUUGCAAAACAACGAGUGCUUCAUUUCGGCAGCCUAUUCUGUGCCGGUCACGAUGUCUGUCUACACUGGCAUCAAUUUCAGGUAAUCACUGAGCUUUCUGAAACGUUUUUGUUUGCGUAUUUGUUUUAGGGCAGAUCGAGUGUGACUUAGGUAAUAUGAUUGCAUUCUCAGGAAUUCACAGAGAUGAAAACACAGAUCUGAGAUCUGAGAACUGGGAAUAAGAAGUUCCCAAUGCAUAAGAGUAGAGCACGAGAACGCUAAAAUGUUCAGAGUCUGCAUACUGUGUCGAUGAGGAACUCAGAAGUGUUCUCCUUUCUGGGCUUUUUGACCCAUCCAAGACGAUAAAGCAGGUUCUCAAUCAUCUCUCCCCGAUCUUAUCUUGCUUCUUUUGCCUCCUUUUUAUCAUCACCAAAUACUUUGAGCAGCUGUAGGUGUUAUGGGUUAAAUAGUUUCUGGGUGGUUGGCCACUUGGCCAGAGGGCAUCUGAGCAUCACUUGUGGUCAGCACUUUUUGGCUCAUGCGCGUUAGCAGUUUGGGAUGUCAGAUGGAAUCUCCCAGGACAGAUGAGGUGGGGGAAGAGGCCAUACAUUUGGGCUUUCGUGCAUGUCAUGGUGGGGCUAAGUUGGAAACGUGGUAAUGAGGGAAGAUUUCUUAGAGAGACCGAUAGUGCCCAGGAUCCUGUGCUGGCAAUGGCUGCCACUUUCUGGCUGUGUGAUCAUGGGCAUAGCUGAGAAUAUAAAAAGUGUGAAUAAAUGAACACAGUGUUGGAGAGAAGAGAAACAUUAUGUGCUAUUCCAUCGGCAACAGGAGAUGCCUGUUUCGUGAGAUUGCGGUGCCGGUCACAAAAUGCUAACUCGGGAAAUCACAGACGACGGUUGGCCGACUUUCCCACCCGCGGACCGAGGGUCCCACCCCGCGCGUGGCCCUCUGGCAUUCCGCCGGUAAGGGUGCCUUCUGCAAAAAGACACAUCGCAGCCAAGUCCGAAGAAGAAUGUUCUUUCAUUUGCCCCGUGGUGGGAAUAGUGACCAGGGCUGAUGCACCGGGCUGUAGAUGGGUCGAGCUAAGCGAUUCCUGUGAAUAGUGCUCCGAGUCGGAAAACGUGGUACCGCUCAGCUCGGGGGCCCGCUGUUUGUAAAACGAGGAACACCUAGAACAUCCCUGAAACUCCUUCUAGCUGUAAAACAUUCUGAUCCAUGAUCGAGGGAAAGAGGAAAGCCUCUGGGUGUCUCAUUUUCCUCAUCUGUAAGAUGGAGGAAGUACUAGGUGAUAACUGUACCCGGCCCAUCGGGCCAUUUGCAGAUGAAAUGUGUCUGUAAAAAACCAAAAAGACUUUAUAAUGGGCCAAGGAAGCACACAGAAGUACUUGCUUCCUUAUUCAGCCCCAAAUUGCGGAAAGUUCAGUCUCUAGCAAUCACACUGCACAUUCUAGUUCCCAUAUACUUUUAUGUCUCGAAGGCUCCCACAAGGGACAUUUGCUAAUGCCCGACAAGAGAUUCCAAACAGGUGAACUGGCCUAGAGGCUGCAACUUUACCCCAGGGGCCUGGCAGUCUUAGGCAUUUACGUAACAAUUAGCUACGAGUGAAAUCUUUCUCGAAUGAUACCCACGGUUGUGCUUUCCUUGCAACAGUUCUAUGAAACAGGUCGAGAUCUUUUCUUCUGACUUUGCGCCUGGGAAAACUCGUGGACCAGAAGGUUUAGUUGCUUUUCCAGAAGGUGUCAAUAGGGAGAGCAGCUUGGGCCUGGAACUGGCUAGAUCCUGGCUAAGUAGACCUUGGGGUCUCUACCACUCGCACCUUUGAGGAGAAGAGAGUCGCCUCUUGCUUUCCGUCAAGUAUUUGCCCCAGACUGCUGUACCUGCUAUGAGAUUGCAGGUUAAUGGAGGCCAGACGGGAAGCCUCUGUCUUCUUUUGUUUCAAGAGACCCUGGACCUGUAUCCCAGCUUUGUUCGGAGCCAAGGAGGAAAUUCCUUCAUCGCGAACUUCACUGUCUGAGCCUGAACCAGAAGGAAUAACAACAUGUGCGAUUUUAACCGUUUUCAGCAUCUGUUAUGACACAAUCCGUGAAGCCUUUUGUUAAUUUUCCUGACGAUUACCUCCCGCUCGUAUACUUUCCCCACAGCUGUCUGGCCCUUUUCCUGGGCCAGCCCGACACUCUAAAGUAACAGGAUUUCUGAAAUCCCAACUGCGCUCCAUCGCCAAAGACGACUUUGCUCACUGGGGCCCGGCGAGUUGUUUUAAAACACCGGCCCGUGCCAGGUAACAAGGCAAAGAGCUACGACUCUCUCACAACCGAGGGUAAUUCAUCAACUUGGAGGGCGCCGGAUAGAAACGGCGAGAUCCUCAACUUCCUCAAAACCCCGUUCUAGCCCUCCAAAGGAAAAGUCUCAAGUGCAGAAACAUAUUUGUCACAACGUGGAAAUCUCGCGAGCCAUCACCGCGGAUCCCCGUGUGGAUACUAACUUUCUGUCCCAAAUUGUAAAAUGUAUCGGCACGUGCAGUAAGGCGAUACCACGGUUUCUUAGAACCCGCGUCCCGCUUUAGGGAGAAGUAAAAGUAAGGCAGGGAAUUUUGAGUUUGAGUCUCCUUCUUAUGGGUGGAAAACCGUCUGCCACAGAUUUGGGUAGAGGGAAAAGGUCCCUGACGUUUGGACGGACCGAGUUCCUCAUCCGCAGCCCGGAAGAGGUUUUGCCCAGACGGCGGUGGGGAUGUAGUUAGUGUUCCCAAGAACUCCUUGGUGGAGAUUUUUACAUCUGGGACACGCCUCUCCCAGGUGACCAUGUACUUACGUGCUGAUCUGGAGGAGGACACGUCAGCCACCGAUCCGGAACCUCCUUAUGCCGUUUCUAGACCUACUUCUGUGGUAUUUUGGAGAACAGUAACUAUGUAGGCUCCGCCGUGCACCCCUGGUGUAGCUGCGCGUCACCAGCCCACGGUAGGCUCUGGGGCCAACAUGAUGUUGGCCUAUUUGGGAUGCGAUGGCACGUGAAGCUUUAUGUUUCGAUCCACCUCUCCACGAGAAAGCUUUCUAAAGAGAGCAACAGUUAUGGCACGUUGUCACAGAGAGGGUCUCAGUAGUUUUUAUGUUUCUUUUUUUUUUUUUAAUUUUUUUUUUUAAUAUUUAUUUAUUUUUGAGACAGGGAGAGACAGAGCAUGAACGGAGGAGGGUCAGAGAGAGAGAGGGAGACAUAGAAUCUGAAACAGGCUCCAGGCUCUGAGCUGUCAGCACAGAGCCCGACGCGGGGCUCAAACUCAUGAACCGUGAGAUCAUGACCUGAGCCGAAGUCGGACGCUUAACCGACUGAGCCACCCAGGCGCCCCUAAUUUUUAUGUUUCUGAUUUGACUUUGCCUUCACCGUCCACCAAGCCCAGGAUCCGAGAUGCCGUGAAAUUUCUCACACGGUAAAGCUGAAUCAUGGAAUGGCACGUCAAACCUAAGUCCUUUUCCAUUGUUUUUCCACCACCGAGAAUUAUUUAAAAAGAUCUCUGUGGCCAGGACAGUAGGGAUCCUGCACUAUCUAUCGCAAGGUCAGGAAGAAAAUUAUUAAGAAGUUCAAGCCCAGGGGCGCCUGGGUGGCUCCGUUGGUUAAGCGCCCAACUCUCGGUUUCCACUCGGGUCAUGAUCUCGAGGUUCGUGAGUUCAAGCACCAUGUCGGGCUCCCUGCUGACAGUGCAGAGCCUGCUUGGGAUUCUCUCUCUCUCUCUCUCUCUCUCCCCCCCCCCACUCCCUCUCUCUGCCUUUCCCCCGCUUGCUUUCUCUCUCUCUCUCUCAAAAUAAAUAAAUAAACUUAAAAAAAGUUCGUGAUCAUGAUCACAGAAAAGUAAACCCCAUGCACAGGUCCCCUCUGAGCACAGGGCCCUGUGUGUUUCACUGCCACAUGACCAGGAAGCAGGACGUGGCCAGAGGUGCAAUGGCCCUGGGGGGUGACAGGCUCAGGUCAGGUGGGGAUGCCUUGAGUGUCUGCCUUUCUUCCCGAAAGCCUUUGGCUACAGCUUUUCCUGGAGGACCUCCAGCUCCUGUCCAUCACAACCCGGGCCGUGACAGAUUUGGGGUGGACUCUGUCUCAGCCAUCCUUGGUCUGUCUAGCCCCAAGCCCUUGGCCUCUGGCCUCCACGCCACUGCCUCGUAUUCAUAUCCAAGGGGCUUUAAGGCCCCCCACCACGAGGGUGGGUGAUCCAGAAGGGCCGCAUGGGCAAGAAUCGUGGCAUCACGGAGCAGGGAGAGUUUCUGUGAUCAUCAGCUUAGGAGACGUUGGGAUACGCUGGGGGCACAGGGUGGCACCCACCUGCCUCCUCCCUGGAUCCGCAUCACUAACUAGGUUUUGUUCGGUGGAAUCUUAAGGAUUCUUUGGAGCCAGUGUUGCCUUGGUGGGUGUGAGGUUCUUAUCUGCAACCUUGGGAAAUCCGAGUUUUCUCUCUUCCAGGUGAGUAAAUAUAUGUUUGGACAUAUAAGUUUGCAAAGCGAAAUACUGUGGGAGGUGUCCAUGGCUCAGCAUUGCUUUUGGCUAUUGGCUUUGGACCAGUGACUACCGACGGGCUGGCAGGAUGCAGGUGGGGCGCUUGUGGACUGUGGGUCAGAGGAGGCCCCUGAAAAACUCAGAGCCUGUGCAGGAAAGGCUGGCAACUGGUCCCGUCUCAUGGCUCAUUAGCCCCGUAGCCAGGCACCCGGAGGUGGGUGGAAAGGAACAGGUGGCUGCCCUUCUGGAAGGUCAUAAAACCCCUGCAAAGCAUGUGCUUCGUUUUCAGGGACAGUUGCCAAAUUCUUGCCCUUGAAAUAAUUUUCCAGGUCUCUCUGCUAGAAAAAGGCUUAAUCUGGAGAAUGAAGGAGGGAGGAACCAAGUGAGAAUAAACCUUCACGUUUUCCAAAAAAAAAAAAAAAAAAGGAGAGGGAUCAUUUACAGGAACCUGUUCUAAGGACAGACUCCCCCCCCCCCCCCCCCACACACACAUACACAAACCCCCAGUUCUGCAAAGCAAAUAAUCAGAACCAUGACUGAAUUCACGGGGGUUUGGUCAGGCACAUCCAGAUAGCUCAGAGCUCACAGGAACGCGAUGUGGACCCAGGGUCACCCAUUCCAGCUUUGAGAAAACUAUACGGUGUUUACUGGGUUCGUCCCCACACGGCUGGGGACCACAGCAGCCCCCCCCCCCCGCCCCCAUGCGGGGAUGCGCCCUCUCGACAAUCACUUUCCACUAGCCCGUCCCCAGGAGCACCACUCGGGCUCCGCGGUUAAUCUGUCGACAGCCAGGGGAACGAACACACUGAGUCAUCUGCCUCCUUUUCAACCAAGACGGAUUUCUGGGAAUGUGAAGAACACUGAAGCGACGUGACAUUCCUUAGCUUGUAGCAGGAAGGCAACUCCCCGCUUCCUUUCUAGACGGGUUGCCUCAUCUUUCUGAACAGGACGAAACAGAUUUCCUUGAAACUUACAUGCCUCUGGCAAAGAAAGGCAGGAGAGCCUGGCCCGGCCCCACCCCUCCCUUUGUGGGGCCGCUCGGUUACCCUGCCCCAGAGGAAGGGUGGGCAAGCACUGUCACCUCCGCUGUCCCGCCUUCCCCUGGGUGAGAAAGACGCACACGAUGUGCACCCCGUGCCCACCGCGUGCACGGUCACGGGCACUGGUCACAGCACAGUUGCUACACGUGUGCGGGGCAUCUAGGGACACAUCAGCCUUGGUGAGGGGCAUGGCAGCCGGUUCCAGGCUCUGUCCUUUUCAGAAUAAGUCACAGGACAGGGGUGUAACGACUGAGUAUUGAUACGUAAGAGAAAAGGAGACGGCAGCUACGUACAGAGAAGCACUCUCAGCAAGGCCUGUGGGCCACCCACGAAACACAGACCCACCACUUCUGGCUCCGUAACCAUCACCCCGCUCGAGGCCCCUGUUGGUUCUCCGGAGGAAGACCGUUCAAAGAUCUUCUCAUCAUGUGCCUCGUUUCCACUCUGGCUCUACCAAACCCACCUCCUAUGCAGCGGCUGGAACAAUCGUCUCACAAUCUAAGUAGAAUUGCAUCACUGCCCCACUCACAGCAGAGUGAGACCUAUCUAUCUGCCCGUUGGAACGGGCCCCAGCCCCUGGCUAUGUCGCCUGCCUUGACUUGCCUUCUUACCUCUCUCCAGCCCCAGCCGCUCCGCCUCCCUGGCUGCUUUUGGGAACCUCAGACACUCCAGCCCUGGGCUCGGUCUUCCGGGCUGCCCCUUCCCUUGUAGAGGUCUCCACUGAAUGGUCACCUGCUCAGAGAGGCUUUCCCUGGUCCUCAGGCAUGCGCUCGUCCUAUUUAUUUCAUGCCGUUCCUAGCUUUCAUCUCGGUCUGUGCUGUUGUUGACUUGCGUGUUGAUGUGUUUCCUACCCGUCUCUUCCUCCCAGGACGCACGUUGCAAGAGCCCUCUUAGGACAUGCCGAUGUGCUCGGUACCUGAACAAGGGAACAGGUUUGCCGCCUGGAAGCACAAACACACUGAAUUAUCGGGAUUGAGUGGCAGAGAAAUACAGCAUGUUAGGGUUGCCAGGGUUUCAGGACUCAUCUGAUCCCAUGUAAUCUUCCUGAGGUGGGCAUCCAGACUCUGCCUGACCUCUUACAGGGCUUGAGAGCUACUUAUCACACAGUGGACCCAGGGGGAUAACCGAGCACUGCCAACGAGGUGACAUUAUGUCAUUUUCACGAGCUCCCUUAAAACUCCCACUCUGCCUGACCACUUAGCAUAACAUUGAUCAAGCCUGUACUUGGGAGAUCGUGGAGGGGAGAGACAGACACGCAAAGAAAAUAAUCUAAGUCCGGGCCCCAAGUGUGAGGACUUUGGUAGAACAUUCCUUAGAAGGUCUCCAUUCUACCUAAGCCCCUUCCUAGCCGUCUCCAUGUUGCUGAGACACCUGUGCAGAUUAAAAGGAUUGAUGUUGGGACAAUGGCCAUCAUAGAGCCUGGCACACACUAAGUGCCCAAUAAAUGUUUGCCUCGGGUCUCUCACAGAGCAGGUGACUAUGGGGGAGGAGGGCACGGGCCUACCUGGCUCAAAACUACAUUUCCCAGCCUGCCCGGCAGCCAGUGGGGCUGUCUGACCAAGCUCCUGCCAGUGUCAGCUGGGGUCAGAUAUGCACUUACUGGUAGGGCCUUAAAACACCAGCGUGGCCCCUCACUUCCCCUUCCCCUUCUCUGGGCCGACAAGCUUGUCAGGGACCCAGCUGCAACCAGUGAUGAGUCCAAUGUCCUGGAACGGGACAGGAAGGCAAAGAGUGAGACAGGGGAGCUGAGCCUCCUUGCCAGCCACUCGUCCUGGCUGUUGUAGGAAAGGCUGAGAGAUCCGUCUCUCAGUUAAGCCUGUGCAUCGGAGGCCUAUUUGUUACAACAGCCUUGUCCACAUCCGUGCUGAGACAAUGGGUACGUGAGGGGCUCUGGGAAGUGGAGUCUGCGGGAAGGGAGGAGGGAGGGGGUGGGGGGAGGCCACAGAAUUCAAAGGUGAGGGGGAUUCUGUUGGAGCGCCCAGCGGAGGGAGGUGGGAGAAGGCGUGGGACAGAGGCCAUGACUCCGGUUUUAUGACUUGUCUAGUGCACAGCAGUGAGUGGGAGAACGGUAUUCGGGCAUCACUUCCUGGAAAGCCGUGGACAUUCUGGUAGAAGGGGGACCCAGGCUGAAGAUUCGGUGACAGCUGACUUCCUGGGAGCCCAUGGCCUCCUCCAGAGAUAGUCUGCAAAAUGACACAGAAAGCUGGACCCUGGAGAGACCCACCUCUGAGAAGUGAGAGACAGAGAGGCAGAGGCAGAGACCAAGAGGCAGAAAGGUCAAGCCCAAUGAACCCUGCCAGGCCACCGGACUGGGCAUCUCCUGUGAGGUCACUGGGCAUCCCCCAAAAGUCUUUCUUUUGUUAGCUCUGCCUUUAAUGUCCUUGGCCUUGGUGAAAACACAGCCAAGUAUUUAGGGAGAGGGAGACACGAUGUCUGCAAUUUACUUGCAAAUGGUUUGGAAAAAAACAUCUAUAGAGACAGAUGAAGGAAAUGCUACCACAUGGUCAGGAGAGGGGAAUCUGGUCGAAGGCUGGGGGGGUUCUUUGUAACAUUCUUGAGGCUUCUUUAAGUUUAAAAUGAUAUAAAGAUCUCCUUGUUUUAAAAAGAACACGUUGAGGAGAGAGCAGGGCGCAAGCGGACCGAGCUUCAGAGAGUGUACCCAGGAGGGGGAGGAAAAGGGGGGGGCGGCCCACCCCUGGAGGGUGGGACUUUGUGGAAGAUGGGGAGGGGGAGAAGGAGUAGGUGUUUGAGCAUAUUUUAUGGCUGAAACAACUGUCUGGACAGGGAAGGAGAAGGCUGGGAUGGAAGGGAGGGGGACCGACAGGGGGAGGGGCAGAGUGGGGGCAGGGAGGGGAAGGGGAGAGGGGAAGAGGGGGAGGGGUGGAUGAAAAAGGAGGGAAGGGGGAGAGGGGCCAAAGGGGACAGGGGCCCAAACCCCGUGAAAAUUUGGAUCAGGCCUGGAGGUCAGCCUUGGGGUGGAGUGGGGCCACUCUUGGGAGAGAGUCUGCCCCCUUGACCAUGCCCUCCCCCCUCCCGGAAGAAGCCAGGGCCCUUUUAAGUCGCAGCCCCGCGGUGAGUCAUGGCCCCCCCCCCCCAACGUCCCCCUUUCCCCCCUCCCUCCCCUCCACCCCCGCACCACUUCCCAGGCUGCACCCCACUGAGCGCCCCCCCAUAGGCCCAUCCACCCCCCCUCCCCCAGCAGUGCCCCCCUCCCCUGCCCCGCCUCUCCCCCUCCCUGCAGCGCAGCUGGGGGCCCGCGGCGGGCCCAUUCCUUUCCCCUGAGCCAGGCGUCUUCGCGCGGUUAUCAAAGUUAUUUUUACGCGUUGAGAAUUUUUCAAGUGAGCACUUGUGCGGUGGCACCUUCUCCUUGUCGCGCUUGGGCCUUGAAGAAAUUCAGCGGCUUAUUUAUAGCGGGUGUUUAUUUUCACUCCGCGCCCGAACUUGAGCCUCCUGUUAAGUGCUCGCAGAUCCAGAUCGGGAGUGAACCCUGGCUUUCUUGCCACCUGACCCGGUGACAGGGUUUGGUUGACCUUCCAGCAGUGUCUGUGACCUGGGGGCGGGGCGGGAGGGGGGGUGUCCCUGGGGGCCCGGAAAGAAACACGGACCCGAGUUCAAUCCUGGGCUUGGUGGAGGGGGGCGGGCGACGAGCGAUGUCAUGGCUGGCACUUAAUUUCUACAAGGCGUCCUCCCCCUGGACCCCCACUCGGGGUGUGGAGCACGCCCACCUUCAUCCGCCCUUAGGUGAUGUACCCCCCGUGAGGUCAGAGCAAUAUUCGACUCCGGGAAAGAUUUCGCUUUUGAGUCACCCUCAGGCUCAGACUUUCGCAUCCACUAAACUUGUCCUGUUUUGGGGGGGCUCAGGGCGACGACAGGGAUCCCCACUUGACAGAGACAGAGUCUAGCCGUUUGCUAAGUGGCACCCAGGUAACCCCCAGUAAGGUGGGAUGCUGGAACGGGGCCCCACAAGGAGCUGCUCCUUCUGCCUCGGACGUUUGAGGGGCCUCACUGUCCGACCGGGGAAGAAGCCACUUUAGAAACAGAAAAAAAAAAAAAAAAACAACCAAGGUGUGACAUAAGAAUGGGUUUCAGAGCCACCACUGGCUGGCCCUCUCCGUGUAGUAAUCACGGUGACUUACAGAAAUUUCCCCGGGGGGUUGCCCAGAGAUGACCUGGAGUCCCGGAAGACGGUUCUGGCAAAAAAAAACACCUCUGGACUCGAAUCUGAGCGCUCAGAUGCCUCCAACCAUGUAACCGGCCUGCUUGGGCCUGAUGGACACUUUCAUGGUAAUUUUUGGAGCUCUGGGGCUUGAGGCACAACUCAGAGCUGAAUAAACCCCAUCUUGGUUCUCUUACGUUUGCCCGGAGCGGCUAGCCGGUCCAUUAUCUCUGCGCCAGGGUCAUUUGAAUUUAUUUUACAUUUAUUCCGAAACAAGCCGGAUUUGGCUGAAGUCACCCGCAUUCAGCUCUAAACUGUAAAACCCCCAUUUGCCUAGCAGUUGAGUUCAAAAAGAAAGGAUCAGAGUAUGAUGUGCUUUUGUUUGAUUUUGCUCUUACUCUCCAGAAAAUGGGUCUGUGGUGGGAGUGGAGGGUUUACAGGCUCAUGGUCCCAGGCGGAGAUUCUGCGGCUCCUGGGGAUGGCUGGGACCCCUGUUUCUGGCUGAGCAGCCGGAGGGGAGGGGGGCAGGGAGGGCGCCCUCUGUGUGUUCUAUUUUCGGGGAGAGGGAUGAUUGGCAAAGGGCAAGAAUCUUAAAAGAGAGACUUGAGGCAGAAAAGACUGUCUACACUGCAGGGGUCAAGAGGGCUCCCACUAGGACCACCCUCAGGCUGAACAUCUCCAACGCCUUCUGAUUCUAGACCUUCCCAGCGUCCUCCUGGGCGACCCCUGGAGCUCGCAGAUUGCUAGCUUUGGGGGUUUACUCUUCCCUUCUUAAUUUCUACCCUGAAGUAGAAUGGCUGCCUCAGUCAGCUGGUUACUUACUAGAAGCUUCCUCUCUGGGGGCUCCUGGUCACGAUCAGAGAUAGCGACCCAUCCUCAAGAGCAUAGGCAACACCCAUUCUAAAAUCUGACUUGAACGUUGGGUUAUUUAAAACAAUGCUUUCUUCUCUUGGUGUCACUCCUUGAUGCUUUCUUAAUUUAAAGAGUUAUUUAUUGGGGCGCCUGGGUGGCUCAGUCAGUCAAGCGUCCGACUCUUGGUUUCGGCUCAGCCCGCGAUCUCACAGUUUGUGAGUUCAAGCCCCGCGUCGGGCUCCACGCUGACCCUGUGGAGUCUGCUUGGAAUUCUCUCUCUUCCCUUCUCUCUCUGCCCCUCUCUCGCUUGCUCUGUCUCUGUCUCAAAAUAAAGACAUAAACUUAAAAAACAUUUAAGCGUUAUUUAUUGGUUAGGAAAAUUAUAAAGCUUCUAAGAGCAAAAAAUUACUUUUGAUGUUAUCGUAAAUAUAACUCUUGACUUUAACUCUACGGUCUUCUGUGAUGUUGCCCAUGUAUAACGAAAUUGAUUCCAUUUUCUUAGCUUUAUACUUCAGGAGAUGGGAAGAGUAUGUUUAAAAUGUAAUUUGGGGCGCGCCUGGGUGGCUCAGUCGGUAAAGCAUCCGACUCUUGAUUUCAGCUCAGGUUAUGAUCUCAUAGUCGUGAGAUCAAGUCCGGAGUUGGGCUCCGAGUUGGGCAUGGACCCUGCUUAAGUUUCUCUCUCUCCCUCUCCCUCUGCCUCUCCCUUUCUCGCUCUCUCUCAAAUAAGUAAAAUAAAACAAAAUGUAAUUUUGUGGAACAGUGGGCUUUUGGGAGGAAACAUUCUAAAUAGGAUGGCUCCCCCUGAUCCUGGAUGGGGACGAGUGUCAGUCUUAGCUUCCACUGGAAUUUAUGAAUGACUGCAGAAAGUGGCCAGAUCCAAAGUUCAUCCUCUCUGCCCAAAGCACUAACUAUCUUCAGUGUUAUGCAUAAUUCAAGAGAGAAAGGCAGGCCUGGGCAUUCGGGCUCAAGCUGGCGAGAGCCCAGGCGUCCUACCCUGGGGCAGAGCAGAGGCACGUUGUGGUGCGGGCGCCUGGGGGCUUCGGGAACCGUCCUCUCCAUUCACAGGUGUCCGAAGACCAAGCUUUUUAGGAAAACUACAAAUAAGAUACUCUUCCUCUUGAAUGAUUUACCCUCUUCUAAAUAAUGAGUGACAUCAACCAUAAUCUAUUUCAACCUCACUAGUUUAAAGACUAUAAUCAUUUACAUGGAUGUUGUAAAAAAAAAAAAAAGUUUUGCUGAACAAGAAAAAUCAGAGGGAAAACAUUUUUUUAAGUUUACUUAUUUAUUUUGGGAGAGAGAAAGAGAGCAGCUGGAGGAGGGGCAGAGAGAGAAGGGGACAGAGAGAGAGAGAGAGAGAGGGAGAGAGAGAGACUCCCAAGCAGGCUCCACACCAUUAGUGUAGAGUCUGAUGCGGGACUCGAACUCACAAACCAUGAGGUCAUGACCUGAGCCGAAGUCGGACGCUUAACCGACUGAGCCACCCAGGUGCCCCCCAGAGAGAAAACAUUUAAUUUAUGUAAGAGAAAAACAUACCUGUAGUGAUUUUAGCAGCCCUCCUUUGUCUAUGAGUACCUUAAUGCUGAUUGAAAUGAUCCUUCUCUGUUCCCUAAAUAAAUCUUCUGUGUCUCCAGGGGGCAAGAUUCUAUUUUCCUUUCUUUUGGGUUUCUAAGAAGUUUUGAGGGUGACAUAACUAAAUUUCUUUUAAAAUACUGAAGGGGAUUAUGGGGCUCUUGGGCGGCUCAGUCGGUUAAGUGUCCGACUUUGGCUCAGGUCAUGACCUCAUGGUUUCGGGGUCCGUGAGUUCGGGCCCCGCGUCAGGCUCUGUGCUGACAGCUCAGAACUUGGGACCUGCUUCGGAUUCUGUGUCUCCCCCUCUCGCUCUGCCCCUCCCCCAUUUGCACUCUCUCUCUCUCUCUCUUUCUCUCAAAAAAUGAGUGAACAUUAAAAGCAAUGCAUACUUUGGCAUGAGGAUUAUUUUGAGCUGAAGGCAAACGAGAAAAAAACGGACUCAGGAAAUGCAGUCUGUGCUAUUAUCUGGCCUCAAGUAGAGCCUAUGUUUUCCUUUGAAGAUGUUUCCCCCUCCUUCAUACCAGGAAGGGAAGAAGGCAAAUCACCAGAGAUGCGGAGGGUGCCCGACUUGAGUCUGCGUAAACACUUUACUCAGGACCCCUUGUCUUCAUUAGUUUCCCCCAUAUAUUUAUCUUCCCACGUCCCUUUUCCUUUGUCUAGUCACUUCUCCAUAAUUUAUCCUCUUUGUUAAAAUGGUGUCUAAGCUCCCCAAGUUGAACUGCUCCUCUGGGUCUUUCUUCCUUUUCUACGAAGACCUCUGCUCACAUGAAAAUUAAAAUAUCGAUGGCAAGUCAAGUUUGUAUGCCUAUUUCCUGUUGAUCUGGCUUUUGUCGGCUUAGUUCACAGGCCCAGGCAUAGAACCUAAGAGGGAAGAGGAAAGUGUUUUCCUCGCCUACCUACCGUAUUUUCUAUUGA